CAAGUGUGCACCUUGUGUUGCUUACUUCAGGAAGGCACUAAGGUCCCAUCUGUUGAUUACUUAUCGUUCCGCAUUCCUAAAGCUUUUUUCUGUCUGCAAAUUUGUAGUAGUCUUCUGGUUGCUAUGGCAAUUAAAUUACACCAAACAAAAUGAUUUGGUUUUUAUUUCCAGAUGCUAAGAAAGCAGUAUGUAGACAAAGUUGAGAAACUGGGGCUGUUUUCAAAUGAGUGAACUGCCAAAUCGCAUCUCUGUUGAAACUGAAGACAGCUUACGCUAUGAACAGUAUUUUUGUACUUAGAAUAACUUCUUAAAUAAAGUUCCAAGUAUAUAGAAGGCAUGCACAAAGAACCUUUAAAUCUCUGUUUCCAGGAUUUCUGUUACAUCUAGUUUUAUUUUCUGACAACCUUUAAUUUCCUUUCAGAAUAAUCACUGGAUGGUCUAUGCAUUGAUUCUGCUCUAGCUUAUCACCCUCACUGCUAUGAGCCAAGAUCAAGAGAGAUCUCAGGAUGGGAGUGUCCUGGAGCUCCUGCCACUGUGUCCUUCUUGCUUUUAAACCCAUGGCAAUGAAAAGCCUCCCUGCAGCCACAGAGGUGGUGGUGGAGAGCCUGCAUGCCGGACCACCUUCUGCUGUCCCGUCUUGCUCCCAAAGGUCCACAAAUUGGAUUAGAGAAACUGACCCUAUGUCAUGGCCCUGGUGACCAUGACUGUCUAUAAUCCUUCUGUGAACCUAAUGAUACAACUCUCACUUUUAGAAUAUUGUAGCAAACUCAAUAUGCAAGUCUUAUAAAAACUGCACAAAAAAUGUCCGAUCUUUGCUACAUAUGGAAGGGAAAUUGUGAAGCAUAAUAAAUCUAAGGUACAAAGAUCAUUAAACUAGAGACACUACAUGAAAAAAAGAAAAAGAUUUCAAGACAAAGUAUAUUUUGGUGGAAGUCUGCACCUCUCCAUCACUUGUGAAAGUGCAAACAAUCCCUUUUCAUCUGAUUUAAAAGUCAGUACUCACUCUUAGUUAUUUUGCCACUGUGUCAUUCCAGACAGACCACUGUGAAUGAUGAAUGCAGGCAGAGAAAUGGGGCACAAUUCUAGAAAUAGUUUUAAACUCUUCUAGUCCUCUAUAUAGAAAUUUGUCUUAGUGAUGUUACUUCUAGUGUGAAGUUAACCAACACCUAGGUAUUGGAAUCAAAUUAUAACAAAGACACCUCCUCUUGCUAAGCAUAACCACUGAUUAAUGACAGAAGAGUACCAAAUGUUUUAUUUGUCCCUCCUUCCAUUCCCUAAACUUGUUAAGCAAAAAGACUUCCAGAGCAGAUUUCAAAUGCACACGUCCCAGGAGGAGUUGUACCAGCAGAGAGAGAGCUGUGCUUUCCAACCCGUACCAAUUGGAAAUGAUGCUCUGAGCAUCUGUGCUAUGACUGGUCAUUAAAAUGUUCCAGAUUCUGAUUUAAGUCUGCAAAGCUACUUCCAUUUUCCUAAGUAUCUUUCAGAUUUGCUGCAAAGAAUGCAAGUAGACCCCAAAACAUUAUUUUUAACAAAAGGAAAGAAAUCCCCUUCUUAGGCUGUUGGUCUGCAAGGGCUUGGAAUGGUUGAGAAUCUCCAGUGAUUUCACAGAUAAUCCAUACGUUUGUAUAGUUCACUGUAUCAAGCAGAGCUGAAUUUCCAAGCCAAAUUACACACGUCUAUUUUUUAAACAGAAUUUAGUUGCUUUUUUAAAAAUCUAUUCAAAAGGGAUAUUCUGUCACUGAAUAAUUAAAUGGGAAUACCUUCUGAGUUUAACAGAGGGUUGGAUUUCGUCUUCUAUCUAAUGUAAAAUCUGCAAUGACAGCAGGAACGAUUUCACACCAAUACAACAGUCUACAUUUUUAUGCACAAUGCUAUAGAAAUUGAGGUCACAGUCUCCAUAGAGCUAUAGAGGGAUACUUGUGUUGUUGAAUUUCACUGCAAAUGGAAAGGAUUUAUGCCAUGAUCAGAAGUGUAGCUCUUUCCAGAG
This 1987-nucleotide long non-coding RNA is filed under the name Gallus gallus (chicken). RNAcentral describes it as "long non-coding RNA NONGGAT004002". The record is from RNAcentral. Lineage: Eukaryota; Metazoa; Chordata; Aves; Galliformes; Phasianidae.